RNAcentral lists this unclassified non-coding RNA (200 nucleotides) under Hypocreales sp. Its description in RNAcentral is "partial internal transcribed spacer 2". Lineage: Eukaryota; Fungi; Ascomycota; Sordariomycetes; Hypocreales. The record is from RNAcentral.
UUAAGUUCAGCGGGUAUUCCUACCUGAUCCGAGGUCAAACUCUAAAAGUUGGGGUUUUACGGCGUGGCCGCGCCGCGCUCCAAUGCGAGUGUGCUACUACGCAAGAGAGGCUGCAGCGAGACCGCCACUGAUUUUGGGGGGCGGCGCGCCGUGAGGCAGGCCGGUCCCCAACACGCUCCCAGAUGGGCGCGAGGGUUGAA